This 480-nucleotide small RNA is filed under the name Pongo abelii (Sumatran orangutan). RNAcentral describes it as "retained intron". The record is from RNAcentral. Lineage: Eukaryota; Metazoa; Chordata; Mammalia; Primates; Hominidae.
CAGGAAGAAACACUUUAGCCCAGAAAGCUGCCCAUGCCGUGUGCAAAUCUGCCCCCUCCUCUCCAGUAACAUUCCCACUUUCUCAUUCUUAGAGUGAAGAGGACAGGAAGAAUGUGCUGAGAUUGCAGGAUCUGGUGGAUAAACUGCAAGUAAAAGUCAAGUCCUACAAGAGGCAGGCGGAGGAGGCUGAUGAACAAGCCAAUGCUCAUCUCACCAAAUUCCGAAAGGCUCAGCAUGAGCUGGAGGAGGCCGAGGAACGUGCGGAUAUCGCAGAAUCUCAAGUGAACAAGCUCCGCGCUAAGACUCGAGACUUCACCUCCAGCAGGAUGGUGGUCCACGAGAGUGAAGAGUGAGCCAGCCCUUCUGGAGCAGGACAGAAGAUAUGCAAAAUGUAUAUUUUCUUGGUUCCUGACCAUUGAUACUCAAUGUCCAUGUGACUCUUUUUCACAUGCGAUAAACUUUGCUUUGUUUCAAUCUGGG